RNAcentral lists this transfer RNA (88 nucleotides) under Chloroherpeton thalassium ATCC 35110. RNAcentral's name for it is "tRNA-Ser (CGA) (tRNA-Ser-CGA-1-1)". It matches the Rfam family "tRNA". From Rfam's summary of the family: Transfer RNA (tRNA) molecules are approximately 80 nucleotides in length. Their secondary structure includes four short double-helical elements and three loops (D, anti-codon, and T loops). Lineage: Bacteria; Pseudomonadati; Chlorobiota; Chlorobiia; Chlorobiales; Chloroherpetonaceae. The record is from Rfam by way of RNAcentral.
GGAGAGGUGCGAGAGUGGUUGAAUCGGGCGGUCUCGAAAACCGUUGUGCGCUAUUCGCGUACCGUGGGUUCGAAUCCCACCCUCUCCG